Unclassified non-coding RNA from Chelonoidis abingdonii (Abingdon island giant tortoise), 163 nucleotides. NCBI's taxonomy places the organism in Eukaryota, Metazoa, Chordata, Testudines, Testudinidae. The record is from Ensembl.
UUAAAAUAAUACUGGAAUGUGAAGUCUUACAAAACAGAUAUAGCCUAGACAGCUGCACUGCAAAUUUCCCUACAAUGCCCUGCCAAUGUGCUUCAACCCUGACCUAGGGUAUGUCUACACUACAGACUUAAGUUGACCAGUGUUAGGUCAAUUUAGAGCCGCC